Molecule: long non-coding RNA, 1602 nt
Organism: Acinonyx jubatus (cheetah)
Lineage: Eukaryota; Metazoa; Chordata; Mammalia; Carnivora; Felidae
Exons: 2
Source: RefSeq, a predicted model, not a curated record
UAUGGUUCUUAUAUCAAGGUCAUCCAGAACAACACGGGGCCAGGGGAGUCAUCCACGCCUCUUACCUUUCCCAUGGUGUUGUACUCCACUGCUAUUUCCCUGAAGAAGAAGUAGAUGUAGUCUCCAUAAUCCACUGCUUGGACAAAGUACGGUUCUGUGGACACAUGGCACUUUAAUUGGGGACAUGUCACACAGAGUUAAAAGAACUUCAAUCAGCUGCGACCAAAGACAUGCUAUUAAUUAAAAGUGUAGGGCCAUUAGACAUUGGGUUAACACGAACCAUUUCUCAUGACCACACCAGCAAGUGCUGGUGAUUUCAGAAGGCAUUCGAGCCUACAAAAUUCUUUCAGAAGUGGUUGCAAUUAACAAUGAAGAAUAAAUGAAUUUUCAUAUGUCUGUAAUUUUAUUUUCCACAACGAAUGCUUCUAUUACAGAAAGGAUUUUUUGUAUGCAUCUCCUCAUGAAUCCUGACUCAUGCCGGGUUGGGAAUAGCAUUUUCCCUGCUCCCCACCACCUCCGAUCCCUGUUCCCUUCCAUGAAUGGAAUGUUCAGUUCUUUUCAUGUUAGAUCUGAAACGAGUGCUUGAGGCAGGAAAGAUGAAUGUGGUGUGUUCUAUUGUAGUGGCAUUGGUAGUUGUGUUAAUAUUCCAGAAACUCAUGGGAAAUGAGAAGGGGGAAGUAAAUAAAUCAUUUGGGGCAAAAGAUGCCAUUUCCACCUUCCUGUCUGUCAGAAGCUAUUACCAACAUGAAACUCCAGUCUGGUCUGUCCGGACUCUAAAUCUCCCUCAAGAUAUGAGCCCCCACCCCUCUCUUAAUUGUUGGUUCACCUUUCAGCCAUUUGGAAUCAUGCUUGACGGUCCGUAGGGUUGGGCUGUCUCCCAGACUCCGGUAAAUGACCGCAUCAAUGGCAAGGAAGUCAGUCACUGUGGCUGAGUAUAGUUUUCCAUCUUAGGAGAGAAAGAAAAGAGGUGAAUGGGGUUGGGGCACUACACUGGGCAUGGGGGAAUAAUAGAGACAUCCCCCAGAUUGCUUUCCUACAUCAGGCAAAUGAGAUAGGACAACUGGGGAACAUCCAAGAGUCGCUGGGAAAAUACUUGGCCCACAUUCCUAACCAUUGUAAAUUAGGAUCUUGAGAGAUGAAACAUUUUUCAUUUUUAAAUUGCAUGGCAAUUUCUAAGCAGCAGCAGCAGCAGCAGCUCAGGGAACGGGGUAAAUGAAAAAUGUUGUUUGCUUCACCUGAUUAUAUGGACCUUGACCGAAAUCUCAAGGCCAAGGCCCCCUGGACACUGCUACUGCCACCACACCAUGGCAAAUUGGAUUAGAUGGGAGCCCAGGGAAAGACAGAAGCUGAUUGUAUCAUCAGAAGUUUUAAGUUUGUGCAGAAGUGAUAGAGUCCUUCGCCUGGGCAGAAAAGUUUAUCCGGACAUAUCUAAGCAGAGGUCUUGAUGUCUGCUUUUGAUCUAAACUGAAAUUUGCUCAGGUUCAACUUGGAGCUGUCUUGACAUCUUCAUUAUUGACAACCAUUUAUCAGUGAAGAUUGACUGGUUAGAUUUGAACCACAGAUGGCAAACCUCUCUGUUGAUAAACAGAUCUACAAAAAUCA